CCUAAUAUUAUUAUUUGUUUAUCUCCUCUCUCGAUCGCCGCCCACAGAAGAAAAGAAGAGGAGGAAGAAGAAGAUGUCUCCGAUGAUGAAGAAGAAGAAGAUAUCCCCGAAGCUAAAUGGAAGAAAUUGAAUUUGGAUUUCAAGGAAAAUAAGCUAGCUUCUGGAGAUUAUGUUGAUGCCGCCGUUCGACAGCUUCAGAAUUAGAAACUGGUCCAGCAAUUAGACCUGCAGAAAAAACAACUGUACGAUGUUGAAACCAAGAUCCAAUAGUUGGAUCGACAAAGAGAAAUCGAUUAUGAAACAGUUCAUAUGCUAUUGACAUGUUUGAAGCAGAAAAAAAAAAAAAAAAAGAAUGGGCAAGAUUAGUCUAAUUUCAGCUAAGUAUAUUGUUACAAUUUUAUGGGCUGAAGUAUAUGAACAUAUGAGUCCCCUUUUUUGUAAUUAUUUGUACAAUUAAGUAUGCUCAAGUAUAUGAACGUGAAAUGGCUCUACAAUCUUGCAGUGAUCUCCUUGGAGCUGAAGCUUUUCUGGUUGUGACUAUCGCUGGUUUGUCUACGGAGGUGAAAUCAGGACAGGUCUCAGGUUCCACGGCGGGAGCAUGAGUUGUUUCGUGAGUAAACGCAACCAGGUCUCUCAGUUCAGUUUGUGGCUGUGAAACUGCAGACUUCUGCAAAAUGCAAUGUUCAGUUACAGGAUGGGAAGGCACCAUUGUGUGAACAAGAGUAGCUUUGCGUGUCUUUGCUCUUAACUCAGCUUGUGAUAGAGAUGUUGCAGGUUCAAGUAGAGGAAGAGAAGGCACAUAGUGGACGAGAGCAGCUAUGCGUGUCUCCGUUCUUAGCCCAGCUUGUGAUUGAGAAGUUGCAGGCUUCUGCAGAACGAUAUGUUCAGGUAAUGGAAGAGAAGACAACACUAUGUGAAGAGGCGUGAACAUCCGCUUCUUCUUAAACGGGUCAUGUAAUUUGUGUUUUUUUCAAAUAAACCAUUGGUGAUGAUGAUAUGAGACAAAUUCGGAGUGACUUUUACGGGACUUUACGUCUCUGUUCGGCUGAUUUUUCU
Camelina sativa (false flax) is the source of this 1056-nucleotide non-coding RNA. Lineage: Eukaryota; Viridiplantae; Streptophyta; Magnoliopsida; Brassicales; Brassicaceae. The record is from RefSeq and is a predicted model, not a curated record.